UUUUUAAAGUAUAACAUUCUGUGUGUGUGUGGGGGGGGGGGGUUCAGCUCUUCAAACUUAGAAUAUUUAGUGAGGUAAGAGUUGUGGACUUCGAUUUCUGACCUUGGUUUUCAUUUGGAAACACCAUACGUACUAUUUAGCAAUCAAACUUCGCAUGAUGUAAUCCCUGCUAUUUUAAUUUGUCUUGUGCUCUGUAAUCGCUUUGGAAGCCUCUGAUACACAAAUCUCUUCGCAGUGAAUUUUCUUUGGUGAUGUUCUUCUUACAGCUUAAACAUGUGGAAAUAUGGCUCACAUGAAUUAUGUUUCUUUUUGAAACAACAACUCAGUGGGGUCCUCCAUCCGUGUCUCCAUCUGGAAACUUCAGACAGACAGAGACUUAGCUCAGGCUUCACCUUCCUUUGCCUGCAUUAUUUCUAUCAUCUUCCUCUCUGGACCUCAGGUGUCUGGUGUCAUCUUGCUCCAAUUCACCUGCUACGCUCCAUCAGAUUACAUCUUCUUAGACCUAAAACAACAAGAGGAACAGCAACAAAACUGAAACAAAGUGCCCCACAUGAGCCCCACAUUGGGUUAUUUUCUGAAUCAAAAGCCUCCAUUACCUAUAUAUAUGGUAACGUUGGAAGAUAAACAAAGCUGGAUACUAGGGGAAGUGGUGAGAGCAGAUUCUAGUCACUAAUCUAUUGCCACCCUGGGAAAAGAGUCCAGCGUGAACUGAACACAAUUUUGGUUUGUACAGGGGUGACUGGGUGUUUUAAGGGGAGAAUGAGGAACAGGGAAGGAUUGGUGGGCUCACUAGGGUCAGGGCAGUGACAAAUUAUAAAAGUGGAAAGGGGGUUGGGUCUGUGUGAAACCCAUCUGGUUUUGCUAGUUGGCACUUAUUCAAGUU
RNAcentral lists this long non-coding RNA (883 nucleotides) under Felis catus (domestic cat). RNAcentral describes it as "lncRNA (ENSFCAG00000048459.1)". The record is from RNAcentral. Lineage: Eukaryota; Metazoa; Chordata; Mammalia; Carnivora; Felidae.